CCCGACUCUAAGGUCUCCUUGACAAACAUCAUGAGCACUGUCCUAGGGCCUCACAACAAGGACCUGGAGGAGGGGAAACUGUCUGCGGUAGGCAGACCAGCUGGCAAAGGCAGCAGAAAACUACCUGAGCGAAGGCUCCACAGGAUAUCUGUCACCUCUAACAGAGGCCGGGGCAGGGGCAACCGAGCCUACACUCCACAGGGCACCGCAGGGGUGAGAGGUGUGUGAAGGUCCACACGUGUCUGAGGACAGGACAGAAGUGGAGGAACAAGAGGGCUGGGCAGCACAGAUCCAGAACUUAGGCCAUUAGCAAAGCGCAAGCAUACAUAAUACUAAGGAUAGACCUCAAGGAAUUCUCACUUAUAACCAGCAGCUGUGUGAAGAUCAUGACCCAGCUCUAAGAGGCACCCAGCACUGUGGUUUCUGUUAGCAUGGAUUCACCUUGUGUACUCCUAAUCUGUCUACGGGGCACUGACCAGUGUCUAUGUGGGAAUGGACGUUGUAAUUCACCCAGAUUUUCCAGCUGCCCCUUCUGACUCUGCGUGUCGUCAGGGAACCACCAUUCUACCAGGAUCCUAAUAGGAUGUCUGUCCUCCUGUCACUGACAAAGUCUGGCCUUGCUUCCCAUUUGGACAAUUAGAGUCAGUGAUGCUGAAAACAUUGCGGAGCAAGGCUUCUGGGACACACCUGCCUGUCAUUCCCUGUGUCAGUCUCAAAGCUGGCUUGGUGGAGCCAAGUCUCAAGUGGGGGGUGGAGCUUUAGCGACAAUGCUGGUUUUCAAGGUGGCUAAGCCAGCUUACACUCCCACAGGCAUGGAUGGAAAUUUGCCUGCUCCAUGGUCUUGCCAUCAUUUCUCCUUCCUAUUAGCUAUUCCGGUGAAGAGGUGUUCACAGGAUAAGCGUGCCAGUCACUGUAGAGAAGGGAACAGUGACAGUGCCUCUCAAAUUUACAGACCUGAGGUGAGUACGAGACAAGUGUGAUAUGGUUGCCUAUCUUCAUAAAACCCUGAACAGAGGACACUAAAGCACUGUAGGAAAGGACACACAGGUCAAUUCAAGUGCAAGAGGGAUACACAGAAGAAAGUGGAGACUAAUACACCCCAAGAGCUGAGAGCAAGAUAGUGAUGAUCCUGUUGGUUUCUUACUUUUUCCACAACUAAUAUUUAAUAAAUAAAGAUUUUAAAACAGAA
Molecule: non-coding RNA, 1189 nt
Organism: Myodes glareolus (Bank vole)
Lineage: Eukaryota; Metazoa; Chordata; Mammalia; Rodentia; Cricetidae
Source: RefSeq, a predicted model, not a curated record